ACAGUGGACGCGAGCAUCUUUAAUUGUUUGUGAAUGUAAGUGUGUAAGAGCACACGGUGGAUGCCUUGGCACCAAGAGCCGAUGAAGGACGUAGUAGGCUGCGAUAAGCCUCGGGGAGCUGCCAAACGAGCUGUGAUCCGAGGGUGUCCGAAUGGGGAAACCCAGCACGCGUGAUGGCGUGUUACCCGCAUCUGAAUACAUAGGGUGUGUGGAGGGAACGCGGGGAAGUGAAACAUCUCAGUACCCGCAGGAAGAGAAAACAAUAGUGAUUCCGUCAGUAGCGGCGAGCGAACGCGGAUCAGGCUAAACCGCAUGCGUGUGAUACCCGGCAGGGGUUGCGUGUGUGGUGUUGUGGGGCAUGAUGUCCCGGUUCUGCCGGACCGGGCGCUGAUUGAUCGCGGGUUAGGGGAACGACUUGGAAGGGUCGGCCGGAGAGGGUGAGAGUCCCGUACCUGAAAACCUUGCGGCGGGGCGAUUUGUGUUCCCAAGUAGCAGCGGGCCCGUGAAAUCUGCUGUGAAUCUGCCGGGACCACCCGGUAAGCCUAAAUACUUCUUGGUGACCGAUAGCGGAUUAGUACCGUGAGGGAAUGGUGAAAAGUACCCCGGGAGGGGAGUGAAAUAGUACCUGAAACCGUGUGCUUACAAUCCGUCAGAGGCUUUAGGGCUGAUGGCGUGCCUUUUGAAGAAUGAGCCUGCGAGUUAGUGGUAUGUCGCGAGGUUAACCCGUGUGGGGAAGCCGUAGCGAAAGCGAGUCCUAAUAGGGCGUUUGAGUGGCAUGCUCUAGACCCGAAGCGGAGUGAUCUACCCAUGGCCAGUGUGAAGCGACGGUAAGACGUCGUGGAGGCGCGAACCCACUUAGGUUGAAAACUGAGGGGAUGAGUUGUGGGUAGGGGUGAAAGGCCAAUCAAACUCCGUGAUAGCUGGUUCUCCCCGAAAUGCAUUUAGGUGCAGCGUCGCAUGUUUCACCUCGGAGGUAGAGCUACUGGAUGGCCGAUGGGCCCUACAAGGUUACUGACGUCAGCCAAACUCCGAAUGCCGAGGUGUGAGAGUGCGGCAGUGAGACUGUGGGGGAUAAGCUUCAUAGUCGAGAGGGAAACAGCCCAGAUCGCCGGCUAAGGCCCCUAAGCGUGUACUAAGUGGAAAAGGAUGUGGGAUCGCUGAGACAGCCAGGAGGUUGGCUUAGAAGCAGCCACCCUUGAAAGAGUGCGUAAUAGCUCACUGGUCAAGUGGUCCUGCGCCGACAAUUUAGCGGGGCUCAAGUACACCGCCGAAGCCGCGGCAUUCAUACAAUAACCUCCUCCGGGCAGGUGUAUGGAUGGGUAGGGGAGCGUCGUGUGGCCAUAGAAGCGCCGGAGUGAUCCAGGCGUGGAGGCCACACGAGUGAGAAUGCAGGCAUGAGUAGCGAAUGACGAGUGAGAAACUCGUCCGCCGAAUGAUCAAGGGUUCCUGGGUCAAGCUAAUCUGCCCAGGGUGAGUCGGGACCUAAGGCGAGGCCGACAGGCGUAGUCGAUGGACAACGGGUUGAUAUUCCCGUACCCGUGUAUGCGCGCCCAUGGUGAAUCAGUGAUACUAACCGCCCUGAACGUCCUAGAGCAUCCUUCGGGAUGACGUGGACCGGAUGCGCGGGACCUGAACUGGUAGUAGCCAAGCGAUGGGGUGACGCAGGAAGGUAGCUGGGCCAGUCAGUGGUUGUACUGGUGUAAGAGUGUAGGCCGUGACAUAGGCAAAUCCGUGUCACAUCAAGGCUGAGACUUGAUGCAUACCCGUUGUGGGGAAUUCAGUGAUCCUAUGCUGCCGAGAAAAGCCUCUAGUGAGUUCAUNNNNNNNNNNNNNNNNNNNNNNNNNNNNNNNNNNNNNNNNNNNNNNNNNNNNNNNNNNNNNNNNNNNNNNNNNNNNNNNNNNNNNNNNNNNNNNNNNNNNCACGGCCCGUACCCCAAACCGACACAGGUGAUCAGGUAGAGAAUACCAAGGCGAUCGAGAGAACUGUGGUUAAGGAACUCGGCAAAAUGCCCCCGUAACUUCGGGAGAAGGGGGACCACGCCCGGUGACGAUCCUUGCGAUCUGAGCUGGGGGUGGUCGCAGAGACCAGAGAGAAGCGACUGUUUACUAAAAACACAGGUCCGUGCGAAGACGUAAGUCGAUGUAUACGGACUGACGCCUGCCCGGUGCUGGAAGGUUAAGAGGACCGGUUAGCCGCAAGGCGAAGCUGAGAAUUUAAGCCCCAGUAAACGGCGGUGGUAACUAUAACCAUCCUAAGGUAGCGAAAUUCCUUGUCGGGUAAGUUCCGACCUGCACGAAUGGCGUAACGACUUCUCUGCUGUCUCGACCACAGACUCGGCGAAAUUGCACUACGAGUAAAGAUGCUCGUUACGCGCGGCAGGACGAAAAGACCCCGGGACCUUUACUAUAGCUUGGUAUUGGCGUUCGAUUCGGUUUGUGUAGGAUAGGUGGGAGACUGUGAAGCAUGCACGCCAGUGUGUGUGGAGUCGUUGUUGAAAUACCACUCUGAUCGUAUUGGACGUCUAACCUCGGCCCAUGAUCUGGGUUAGGGACAGUGCCUGGUGGGUAGUUUAACUGGGGCGGUUGCCUCCUAAAGAGUAACGGAGGCGCCCAAAGGUUCCCUCAGCCUGGAUGGCAAUCAGGUGUUGAGUGCAAGUGCACAAGGGAGCUUGACUGUGAGACUGACACGUCGAGCAGGGACGAAAGUCGGGACUAGUGAUCCGGCACCGGCAAGUGGAAGCGGUGUCGCUCAACGGAUAAAAGGUACCCCGGGGAUAACAGGCUGAUCUUCCCCAAGAGUCCAUAUCGACGGGAUGGUUUGGCACCUCGAUGUCGGCUCGUCGCAUCCUGGGGCUGGAGUAGGUCCCAAGGGUUGGGCUGUUCGCCCAUUAAAGCGGCACGCGAGCUGGGUUUAGAACGUCGUGAGACAGUUCGGUCUCUAUCCGCCGCGCGCGUAAGAAACUUGAGGAAGGCUGUCCCUAGUACGAGAGGACCGGGACGGACGAACCUCUGGUGUGCCAGUUGUUCCACCAGGAGCAUCGCUGGUUAGCUACGUUCGGAAGGGAUAACCGCUGAAAGCAUCUAAGCGGGAAGCCUGUUCCAAGAUGAGGUUUCUCACCACCUUCGCGUGGUUAAGGCCCCCCACAGACCAUGGGGUUGAUAGGCCGGAACUGGAAGCGCAGCAAUGCGUGCAGGUGACCGGUACUAAUCGGCCGAGGGCUUACACACAA
This 3230-nucleotide ribosomal RNA is filed under the name Microbacter sp. EMBS2025. RNAcentral's name for it is "23S ribosomal RNA". It matches the Rfam family "Bacterial large subunit ribosomal RNA". Lineage: Bacteria; Pseudomonadati; Bacteroidota; Bacteroidia; Bacteroidales; Porphyromonadaceae. The record is from RNAcentral.